This 769-nucleotide ribosomal RNA is filed under the name uncultured Bacteroidota bacterium. Its description in RNAcentral is "bacterial SSU rRNA". It matches the Rfam family "Bacterial small subunit ribosomal RNA", at positions 1 to 774 of the family's 1533-position model. The record is from RNAcentral. Lineage: Bacteria; Pseudomonadati; Bacteroidota.
AGGGGGUUUGGAUCAUGGGCUCAGGAUGAACGCUAGCGGCAGGCCUAAUACAUGCAAGUCGAGGGGCAGCACGAGUACUUGUACUUGGUGGCGACCGGCGCACGGGUGCGUAACGCGUAUGCAACCUGCCCACUACAGAGGGAUAGCCCAGAGAAAUUUGGAUUAAUACCUCAUGGUUUCAACGAUUCGCAUGUUUUGUUGAAUAAAGAUUUUAUCGGUAGUGGAUGGGCAUGCGUCCAAUUAGUUUGUUGGUGAGGUAACGGCUCACCAAGGCGAUGAUUGGUAGGGGUUCUGAGAGGAUGAUCCCCCACACUGGCACUGAGAUACGGGCCAGACUCCUACGGGAGGCAGCAGUAAGGAAUAUUGGUCAAUGGAGGCAACUCUGAACCAGCCAUGCCGCGUGAAGGAUGAAGGCUUUCUGAGUCGUAAACUUCUUUUAUACGGGAAGAAAACGCCCUGCGGGGUUUAUUGACGGUACCGUACGAAUAAGCACCGGCUAACUCCGUGCCAGCAGCCGCGGUAAUACGGAGGGUGCGAGCGUUGUCCGGAAUUAUUGGGUUUAAAGGGUGCGUAGGCGGAAUAUUAAGUCAGGGGUGAAAUCCCGCAGCUCAACUGCGGAACUGCCCUUGAUACUGGUUUUCUUGAGUUCGGUUGAGGCAGGCGGAAUUUAUGAUGUAGCGGUGAAUGCAUAGAUAUCAUAAGAACACCGAUUGCGAAGGCAGCCUGCUGGGCCGUUCUGACGCUGAGCACAAAGCGUGGGGAGCGAACA